Molecule: ribosomal RNA, 242 nt
Filed under: uncultured bacterium
Lineage: Bacteria
Description: partial 16S ribosomal RNA
Rfam family: Bacterial small subunit ribosomal RNA
Source: RNAcentral
CGGCGACGGGUGAGUAACACGUGAGUAAUCUGCCCUCGGCACCGGGAUAGCCCGGGGAAACCCGGAUUAAUACCGGAUGGCCCACCAGCCCCUCGGGGCGGUUGGAAAAGGUAGCUUCGGCCUCCGGCCGAGGAGGAGCUCGCGGCGGAUUAGCUUGUUGGCGGGUAACGGCCCACCAAGGCGACGAUCCGUAGCUGGUCUGAGAGGACGAUCAGCCACACUGGGACUGAGACACGGCCCAG